Molecule: ribosomal RNA, 377 nt
Filed under: Platyphytoptus monophyllae
Lineage: Eukaryota; Metazoa; Arthropoda; Arachnida; Trombidiformes; Eriophyidae
Description: partial large subunit ribosomal RNA
Rfam family: Eukaryotic large subunit ribosomal RNA
Source: RNAcentral
CCCGUCUUGAAACACGGACCAAGGAGUUUAAUUAGGCUUCGAGUUGAUCGGUCUUGAAUAGGCCAGACUAAAUGAUGGGUCAAACCAUCGUUUGAAUGAAGGCGUAGAGAAAUCAAAUCGAGUGAUCGUGCUAGCAAUAACAGCUUGUACGCGCAACAUGUGCCUGUUCGUAUAGUAAUGUUAGCAAUAACUUAAUGGGCGGAGCAAAGAGAUGCUUGAUUGGUACCCGAAAGAUGGUGAACUAUGCCUGGGCAAAUUGAAGCCAGAGGAAACUCUGGUGGAGGAUUGUAGCGAUUCUGACGUGCAAAUCGAUCGUCAGACCUGGGUAUAGGGGAAAAAGACUAAUCGAACCAUCUAGUAGCUGGUUCCUUCCGAAA